CAAGUCGAACGAGAAAGUGGAGCAAUCCAUGAGUAAAGUGGCGACCGGGUGAGUAACACGUGACUAACCUACCCUAAAGUGGGGGAUAACUCCGGGAAACCGGGGCUAAUACCGCAUAACGUCGCGAGGGGAAGAUCCUUGCGAUCAAAGGAGCAAUUCGCUGAAGGAGGGGGUCGCGGCUGAUUAGCUAGUUGGUGAGGUAACGGCCCACCAAGGCAAAGAUCAGUAUCCGGCCUGAGAGGGCGCACGGACACACUGGAACUGAAACACGGUCCAGACUCCUACGGGAGGCAGCAGUGGGGAAUUUUGCGCAAUGGGGGAAACCCUGACGCAGCAACGCCGCGUGGAGGAUGAAGUCCCUUGGGAUGUAAACUCCUUUCGAUCGGGACGAUUAUGACGGUACCGGAAGAAGAAGCACCGGCUAACUCUGUGCCAGCAGCCGCGGUAAUACAGAGGGUGCAAGCGUUGUUCGGAAUUAUUGGGCGUAAAGGGCGCGUAGGCGGUGCGGUAAGUCUGUAGUGAAAUCUCUGGGCUCAACUCAGAGUCUGCUGCAGAAACUGCCGUGCUUGAGUGUGGGAGAGGUGAGUGGAAUUCCCGGUGUAGCGGUGAAAUGCGUAGAUAUCGGGAGGAACACCUGUGGCGAAAGCGGCUCACUGGACCACAACUGACGCUGAGGCGCGAAAGCUAGGGGAGCAAACAGGAUUAGAUACCCUGGUAGUCCUAGCCCUAAACGAUGAUCGCUUGGUGUAUUGGGUACCCAAUCCCAAUGUGCCGGAGCUAACGCGUUAAGCGAUCCGCCUGGGGAGUACGGUCGC
This 815-nucleotide ribosomal RNA is filed under the name uncultured Acidobacteriota bacterium. RNAcentral describes it as "bacterial SSU rRNA". It matches the Rfam family "Bacterial small subunit ribosomal RNA", at positions 58 to 889 of the family's 1533-position model. The record is from RNAcentral. Lineage: Bacteria; Pseudomonadati; Acidobacteriota.